Molecule: long non-coding RNA, 958 nt
Filed under: Mytilus galloprovincialis (Mediterranean mussel)
Lineage: Eukaryota; Metazoa; Mollusca; Bivalvia; Mytilida; Mytilidae
Source: RNAcentral
CCGCAUUAUUAUUUUUUUUUUAUAUAUUCUUUCAUUUACUUUCCGUGAAUAUAAGUACGUAUACUAAUAUAUCCAUAUUGAUGGUUACAUAUGAAAUAACGAAUCGCUAUGUUUCAAUCAUUAUAUAGUAAUUCGGGUGUGUCAGUUUCAUUUUCGAUCCCCGUGUUUAUCUCGAGGUUAAACAAUAAUCUUAAUCUAUAUAUAUCGAUAUUUUAAGUACAACUCUUGUCUGGAUGUUUGGACAAAUAAUGAAGCUUGAUGUCGCCAGACAUGAGUACGUCUGCUAGAAGGACAUACAUUGGAACAUAAGAUAUUUAUACGAUAAACGAAGGAAAGGUUUGUACCAAAUACACCCUUUCUGUACAUCAAAUGAAGGUAUGACUGUCUCAAUUAAAGAAAUUAGCUUUGAGAAUAAACAAGAGUUGAAAGUCGAUAGAAAGAAAGUUCCCUUGUCCUCUUCAUUCGCAUCCUAGCCAUUGAAGAGAAAUGUCGUUUCAGCCUACAUCAAGUACUCCGAAUGUGGAAUGGCUGAGCGUCAAUUUUAUCUUUACACCUGAAUGAUGAAUGUAUGCAAUAUACUACGGUUACGGUUACUCUCUAUUUCAAUUUUACAUCAAGUGAUAUAAUCUCAUAUUCAUUUACACAAUAACUUGUCGUUUAAUAUUUUUUAAUUUAUUUCAGACUAAUACUGAUCUGAGGAGAAGGCUGUGGACGAGAGAAACACCAUCGUACAUAGGGGAGAGUGUAAAUGAUGAAGCAGUGAGUAGCUAUUAUUUUUUUUUAUUUCAUUUUUUUUAAACUCCAAAACAAACAAAAAAAAAACGAACAGAAAAAAAACCUAGAGUUAUUGUUCUACAUGUUAAAUAAGGGUAAUAACAAAAUUACCGAACACCAAUCAAAUCCAUAAUCGAGCAGAAUAAGUCCAAACAAAACUGACAAAAUAGGUAUACAAUCAUUG